UCACUCACUCUGUCUUCUUUUCUUUUUCAUUUUCUCUCAACACAACAAACACUCAUCUGUAUCACUCCCUCACACUCUCCCACCGGUACACUCCACACCACCAUCUCCACAAUUAUUUUUUCGGCAAGAUCACCGGAAAAUCCUUAAGGACCUCUAAUCACCUUCACAUAUUUUAUUUGAAGUAAAAGUUUCUAAUCUUUUUGGAGUAGGGGAGCAUAGGAAAAGUUCACACACUGCUUGAGACUCUUGGUACUUAGCUGCUAAUUGAGUUUUGUAGGAAGUUCUUUAGUGCAGCCAAGAGCCACAGCAUGAAGAAACAAUGUUUUUGUACAUGGAGCUAGUUUUGUAUAGUUAUCCUACUAUUUUGUGUAUAUAUAGCAAAAUUGAUAUAUAUGUAUAAAUAGUCUUCCAUUGUAUUAGGGUAAUUUUGUCCACAUGAUAUUAUGGUUUUGUAUAAACAGUUUAAAAGAAGCUCUGGUUACUAUCACUUCCCGUAAAUGGACAAGUUUAUCCAUAUAUUUUGAGUAAACAAGGAGUACGUUUAUAAUGUUA
This is a long non-coding RNA of Quercus lobata, 552 nucleotides long. RefSeq lists it as uncharacterized. NCBI's taxonomy places the organism in Eukaryota, Viridiplantae, Streptophyta, Magnoliopsida, Fagales, Fagaceae. The record is from RefSeq and is a predicted model, not a curated record. The transcript is spliced from 3 exons.